GAAAGGAUAAAUACAUAAGGAAAAGAGAUGCAGGAAGCUGCAGAGACACUGGCCAUUUAUCUGAGAAGUGCCCAAUGAGGCAUCACCGGAUAAGCACACGUCGGGUCGUUCUCCUGCUUCAGUAAGGUGGUUCUCCCUUCCUCUCCUCACCUUUCCCCACACUUCCCAAUAUUGCCCUUCCUUCUUUUGUGUUUGUCUUUCUGUCUGUCAUCAUUGUUACAACAUAGAGCUAUUUCCACUUGGUGCACUGCUCAACAGCAAAAUACUGGCCUUAUCUACUAGAUGGACUGGAACAAGAGAGUUUCAUGGUGUAUUGUCAAGCUUAAAAUAGAGGACAGUUGGGCUAGAAUUGACCUUGAUAAGGCAUUCUCUUAGUUUCAUGAAGAACAUUUGAUUACAAAAAUUUCUGAGAAUAGACUUAGUAUACUCCAAAAUAAGAUCUUAUAUCUGUGUGCCACAGUUUUGGCAUAAAUACCCAAUUAUUCCCUUACAACACUGGAGUAAUCCUUUAUACAAAAUCCUACCUACUUCCCAAGAGUGCUUACCAUAAAAGGUAAGUGUCUGGAUGUGCACAUUCAUGUUCAUAAGUACAAACACAAAAUGAUAAAAAUAAUGACUUUAGAACAAAAAUAAUUAGGAGAAAGUAGAGCUAUGAGGAAAAAGUAUUUUUGAGCAUCUUUCUUUAGAAAAUUCUGAGCCAAAAUAACUUUUUACCUUAUACCAGUAUUGCCACUCUGUGAUUAUUUUAAAGCUGGAAUGGAAAGGAAGUCUGAAGAUAAGAAAUCCCUUAAUUUCAUCAAUCACAACAAGAGCCAACUUAGAAGUAUGGAAUUCUUCCUAAUAAACUGUCAACUAGCUGUCAGCAACUACCUACAUUUGCUGUGGAAUUUGCAGGUCUGUGGCGUUGACAUUAUCAAUGCUAUGGAUGCCUCAAGGCUCUCAUAAAAAUACAUGGCUUCAGCAAUACGCAUGCAGUUAUCUCAGUUUAAAGGAAAUGGGUUCUGCUCCCUGCUUAAUAAGAAAU
Molecule: long non-coding RNA, 1024 nt
Filed under: Homo sapiens (human)
Lineage: Eukaryota; Metazoa; Chordata; Mammalia; Primates; Hominidae
Description: HSALNT0046828
Source: RNAcentral